Molecule: small nucleolar RNA, 106 nt
Filed under: Gossypium arboreum
Lineage: Eukaryota; Viridiplantae; Streptophyta; Magnoliopsida; Malvales; Malvaceae
Description: Plant small nucleolar RNA R71
Rfam family: Plant small nucleolar RNA R71
About the family: R71 is a member of the C/D box family of snoRNAs containing the C (UGAUGA) and D (CUGA) box motifs. Multiple nearly identical copies of this snoRNA have been identified in Arabidopsis, and it is thought to function as a 2'-O-ribose methylation guide for 18S ribosomal RNA.
Source: Rfam by way of RNAcentral
AACCCAUGGUGAGGGCACCUUUUCAAUAAAUCCUUAUACCCCUCCAUGCAUCAUAUAGAGUUUCUAAAUCCAUUUUCACGAAGGAAGAGAUAUCAUUCCUCAGCUU